UCGCGUUGAAAGGCAUGUUGUUACUUUUUUGUCCCAGGCUAAGGAAGAGCAACAGGUAUGAUUCUCUUUGUAAACUCCCACAUCAUUUGUUCUUCAUAAGGUGAUUUACUUAUACUUUGUUAAAGUAAAUUAAAAGAUUUGGUUUCUUUGACCCCUUACUACUUGCUUUUGAACUGAAUGAAGUAAUAUUUGACUGAAGACCGGCUUGUGUGGUUGAUGUGCUAUAUUUCUGUGCGAUACAGUGUGUUAAUUACUGUUCCUUGAUAUGCUUGAGAUGCAAAGUUUUCCUCGAAUAUGACUGAAAGUGUUGAUGUAGUGCUGGACGUGGUAACUAUCUAAAGGCUUAGCCGUUCACAGUUUUUUUUUUUGAAAUAACCAUUUGCAGACUAUUUAAUAGCACAACAGAAUGGAAUUUGUAUCUCUCGUUGAUACUGAGUAGAAAUCGUAUUCUUAUCGAUUAAGGUAUUAGAAAAAGGAAACUGAACCAACUCUGCGUGAACCAUGUAUAUCAAUUCUAAUGGGAUGGUAUAGGCCCUAGGGUUGUGAUGCUGGACCAUUUUUGUCACCUAGAAAACUACCGGUUUGUAUCAUUUUUCUCAAGUGAAACAUCCUGUACAUGUGACCUACAUAUAACACUAACGGGCUAUUGGCUAGGUCUUGUCGCCGGCGAACUUCAAUCUCGUUGCCGGCAACCACACAAUUGAUCCACGAUGAACCACCGCUCCUCUUCUCUAUUUUGUUCGUCUCCUUGAUCCAGGAUGUAGAUUGAGGCGCUACUGCAGUUGCAGCGCGGACUACUUGGCGCGGUGGUUCUCAUGUGAGCUGAGCUAGAGUAGGAGACAUGGAUUAAUCCCUUCAUAUUCUCUCAUCAUUUUCUCCAUUCUCCUCUUGGCAGUAUAUAUGCGUGUUAAGUUGAUUUAUUUAGUUCCUCUGUAAAAUGUAUUCAAAGGUAACGUGCUAGUUUUAAACUUUGAUUUCUGAAGCGUCUAUUUUUACAAUGAAUCACUAAGUAUGUGUCGGGGAAACUGAUCCACGAACACCUAUGGGACCGGCGGACCGAGCCCCUUUUGGUUCGGCGGGGGGCGGAGAUCGCACGAAGAGCGGAUCGAGGCGAAGCACACGAGCAGUUUACCCAGCUUCGGAGCUCUCCGGAGAGAUAACACUCCUACUGCUGCAUGUCUGAGUGUAUUGAGUUCUUGCUCGGGAGCGCUGAGUGCUACAGUACACACUAGCUGCUAACGAGACCGAGCGUGAGUGUUUUUCUGCCUUCGAACCCCCCUCUACGUUGCGCAUGGGCCUCCUUUUAUAUGCUAAAGGGGUCUCCGACAGGUGGCAACGUAGACAAGGGUAAAAAUGGAAAAGGAAUUGCGAUUGGUACAACUACCUGUACAGUGUAUCAUACCUAACCCUGACGGCAGGGGACAAAGGCAUUAAAUGCUCGUCUGCGUCGCUCAAAUAGUGCAAAAAGAGACCGUCAGGGACGCCACCGCUCGCCACGAUGGCAGUCUUGUCAGCGUCGCUUGCCACCGCGCACCGCUGGCUGCAUAGCCUCUUGCCACACGCGCCUGGAAAGGCCGCAGGGCGACACGUUGGUGGGUGUGCUGGAGCGCGGGUACAGAGUGGUAGCUUGCCGCGGCAAGCGCUUUGCCGCGGUCGUUGUCUUGUUGCGUCCGGAAGCUUGUCGCUCACCGGGCCUUGCCGGGACGCGUGGCGCGUCGCGGCAAGUUCCUUGAGAUGCCUUGGUUGGCUUUCCCGGCAAGCUCCUCUUGCCGGGGCCUUGUCUCCUUGGCUUGAAUACUUUGUUCUUGAAUGACUCCAAAGGAACCACGGAGGACCUUGGCGGUCACUCGGCAAGCCUUGCCGCGGGGUGCUGCGACUGCCCGUGCACAAGUUCGGAAUACUAGGGUACCCCUACUCUAGUACACCGACAGUAUGUAACUGUAAUUAUAAUUUAGUAAUUAGUACAUAUCCUCGUACAUAAUUUCUGUUGUAUGGAUUAUUUACAGAAUGUGGAUCAUAGGGUUACCAUUUCAAACUUCAUCGAUCUCUCUUUUGAUUUUGUAGGGGUUAGAGCAUACGUUAUUUUCCAGGGUGCUGCAACUGCCCGUGCACAAGUUCGGGAUACUAGGAUACCCCUACUCUAGUACACCGACAAUAUGUAACUGUAAUUAUAAUUUAGUAAUUAGUACAUAUCCUCGUACAUAAUUUCUGUUGUAUGGAUUAUUUACAGAAUGUGGAUCAUAGAGUUACCAUUUCAAACUUCAUCGAUCUCUCUUUUGAUUUUGUAGGGGUUAGAGCAUACGUUAUUUUCUUCAGUGGACAUUCAACCCAACUUAAAAUAUUGUUCCUUCAACACUUCCGUAGCAUGCAUGAUCAAUCAGUGAAGAAAAUUACGAAGGUAGAUGUUAAUCUUAGAGGAUUAGAUGUGCCUUUACCUUCUCAACUUUCUCGGUCAAUUAAACAUCCCAAGCCCAUCAUCAGGCACAAUUUAUAGCAUAGUUUUGUGUGACGAAGCUGAGAUUAUUAUUUUUUGAGAUUGAAUCUAAACAUAAGUCUUGUGCCACAUAUUUGGUCUAUAAUCUUUGGGUUUCUUAAGAUUUCUCAUCCAAUGAGUAGUGAGGGGUCUCACCAUCUGGAGUACUGAUUCAUGAAUUUCCUGGACAAAAUCAUUCUACUGGGUUUAACCUUGUUGGUGUCGGGGCAUCAAUGCCAGGGUGGGGUGUGGCAGAGAAUAAUGGCUGGCUAAUGGAGAAUGGUUGGAUCUGAGGCACAUGACAAAGAGGGCACUGCGUCUAUGGUCCAUGAGAGGCAUGGGUAACGGAGGCAGAUUCAUAUGAGGAGAUCAUGGGAUAAAUAAAUAACAGCAAAAUGUGAGCAGCGUGUGCAGGCGGCCUCUGAGUUGUUGCCCUCAUUGCUAGUGAUGCUGGAUUCCUACCAAAUGUAAGUGCUGAUGAUAAGCAUCAUUCCUAAUGCAUAUUAUGCCUUGUAAUUCCUCCAUGUAGCAAUGUAAAGUAUUUAUUAUUUGUUGUUACCAUGUCCUAGCAAAAAGGCAUUAAUUUGUUAAUUUUAAUUUGGUUCAUAUGUGUCAGUCGACAUACAAUGUUUUUGUAUAUGUGUUGUAGGUGGUGCAUAUGAUAUUGAAGAUCUAUACGUGAUUACUGGAAAGGUUGUGUGAGAUAUACAUGGUUUAAUACCCAGAACAAUAAACUGACAAAAGUGCAUGUCUUUCAAAAAAUUACAAUGUGAACUACUUUUGAUAGUGCUAACAUUCACACCCUUGUAAUCAACUCCCUCCAUCCCAUACUAUAAGAUCAUUUUGCAAGCUAUUUUAGCCUAUAAAAUGAUCUUAUAUUACGGGAUGGAGGGAGUAAUAAAAUAUCCUUCUUGCCAUGGACAUUCUCAAGCAGUGUUACUAUAUCUUCGUAAAUAUCCUUCUUAUCAUGGACGUUGUCAAGUAGUGCUGAUGUAUCUUUGUAAAUACAUAUAGUCUGCCUUAUUAUUAAAUGAUAAGCUACUAAUGUACUAAUUUUCUAUUUAACUUCCUCAUCCUCCUUGUUUUUGUUUCGCCUACUCGUAUAUUGGAACUUACCUGGAACCUCUUCAUUGUGGUAAAGUAAAUAUAAAUUUUAAAAACAUAUUUCUAGAAAUCUAGAAGUGUAUAUAAUGAUAAAAUUAAUCACCUUUAUAUCUGGAAUGUUUUGCUUGUUUAUUUAAUGAUUUAACACGGUGUCCGCCUCAUCAUCCGUCAAUUCCAAUAUAUGUAAGAUGAAUUAUAUAGGGAAUUCUAUAAUUAAAUGCACCUUUACCUCCUCAGCUUUACCGUGCAAGUAGAGUAUCUCUAGCCUACCGUCAUGCAUAAUUGUUCUUCUAAUUGCCAAAAGGUUAUAUUACUAUCAUCGAGCUUUAACCCAAAUAUAUGUCUCCUAGCAAAAAGUUGUAUCAUCCAACACUUCAUCAGAUUUCCCAUCGACUGAGUUCAGUAAGCUAGAUGUACUAAGCAAUAUUGCAGCCUCCUCGUUAUAUAAAUUGCAGUUUGUAGUAGCUAUGUUGUCACUGAUUUGGAGUCGAGUACGGUACCUACUGUACCAUUCAUAUUAGUCAAGAGUAAGUAUAAUAUAAUAGUUGUCCAUAUGAGUGAUAUGCUUACCUUGGUGUUACCCUUUUUUGAUAUAUACCACAACUCUUGCAAUAGUAUGUGUCAGUUUUCUUGGUAGCAAGUUUGUGACAAUCAUCACAUCACAUGUACCACCAUUAAAUAUCUUCUUGUAACUGAUCUAUUAUAGCUAUUGUUGUGAACACAAAAAUCUAAAUAUCUUAAAACCUCAAGAAAUUGAAAGACACAAAUAAUUCAACUAAAUCUCAUUAUAACUAAUAUUACAGGUCUCAGAGACUCGUUAUCCAGGAAGAGUGAUGAUAGCAUACAUUGGAACUCGUACCUGAUUUCUCCGGAUUCAUGUAUCACUCUAGUAAGUUCUUGUAAUGUUCUCUGCCUAUAAAACAUUUGUUCUUCUAGUGUUCCUUGAGUACUAUAUCUAUGCUGACCUUUUUAGUGAAAUUAUUUCUGCCGAGUGCCUAUGUGGAUUAAAUAAGAAUGGUUGAUCUUUGCUUCAGCUUGACUUUGAUGCAAGUACACUUAAGUUUUUAUCACAAUCAUUAUAAAUAUAAUAAGAGGUGCAGAUAUUUUUGUUGGCAUUGAAGGAUGUCAUGGAUCGGUUGCCUUCCUGGACCUCACAAUGUUGUUGCCUUCAAAACUAUCUUAAAAAGUAUUUGUUUACAGUGUAUGUAUGAAAGCUUAUUACAAAUUUAGACAUUUUUGUAGGAGAUUAGAAAUAGAAAUGAAGACUUGUUCAGAUGGAAACAUCUAAACACACAUGAGUCAGCAAAGAUAUUACCUAAAUUAAUUUGAUGGCUUGUUGUCUGCCUUCUUUUGAUGCUGGGUGCCAAGACGGCAAGACGUCACAGGAGCGUACUGGAUGCAUCGUGUCUUUGAUCCUCCGGCAUGACGGAAAGCAUACUGGAUAGCCUGCAGUCAUGGUUUCGAUCUACCGGGCGUUCGAGCAUAGCUUGUGUGUUCAAACCCAUCAUGUUUCAGCGCAUGCAUUGGGUGUUUUCUCUCCUUCAUGUGUUACGACAUCCUUGUAUAAUUGUGUUUGUAGAUGCCUAUGCUUGAAAGAAAUCAAUCAAGCCAUAUGAAAAUCAAGUAGAAAAUAAUUGACCAGAUUGUACUUUGCCUUUGAUAGACGUGCACGUGACGGACUUGUAUACAUCUAUCUAGGCAGGUUGACUGGUUCUAGUACAUGGAUGCCUAUAUGACGAUGAGUCCUGGCUUGCAUUGUAGUAGUAUACUUCUUGGGUCGCGCUAACUGUCACACGUGUGGUAGGAAGGGAGACGCACCACACAUCUCUAAUGUAAACAGAUUGCCAC
Molecule: long non-coding RNA, 5425 nt
Filed under: Triticum aestivum (bread wheat)
Lineage: Eukaryota; Viridiplantae; Streptophyta; Magnoliopsida; Poales; Poaceae
Description: long non-coding RNA (TAES_LNC027390)
Source: RNAcentral